This 89-nucleotide microRNA precursor is filed under the name Nipponia nippon (crested ibis). RNAcentral's name for it is "mir-2131 microRNA precursor family". It matches the Rfam family "mir-2131 microRNA precursor family". The record is from Rfam by way of RNAcentral. Lineage: Eukaryota; Metazoa; Chordata; Aves; Pelecaniformes; Threskiornithidae.
UCUUGUGGCUUCCAUGCAGAAGUGCACGGAAACAGCUAUUUGCUAUUGAAAAGUUGGCUGUUACUGUUCUUCUGAUGGAUGCUGCUAGA